GACGAACGCUGGCGGCGUGCUUAACACAUGCAAGUCGAACGGAAAGGCCCUGCUUUUGUGGGGUGCUCGAGUGGCGAACGGGUGAGUAACACGUGAGUAUCCUGCCCUUGACUUUGGGAUAACUUCAGGAAACUGGGGCUAAUACCGGAUAGGAGCUCCUGCUGCAUGGUGGGGGUUGGAAAGUUUCGGCGGUUGGGGAUGGACUCGCGGCUUAUCAGCUUGUUGGUGGGGUAGUGGCUUACCAAGGCUUUGACGGGUAGCCGGCCUGAGAGGGUGACCGGCCACAUUGGGACUGAGAUACGGCCCAGACUCCUACGGGAGGCAGCAGUGGGGAAUAUUGCACAAUGGGCGGAAGCCUGAUGCAGCAACGCCGCGUGCGGGAUGACGGCCUUCGGGUUGUAAACCGCUUUCGCCUGUGACGAAGCGUGAGUGACGGUAAUGGGGAAAGAAGCACCGGCUAACUACGU
This 467-nucleotide ribosomal RNA is filed under the name uncultured bacterium. Its description in RNAcentral is "partial 16S ribosomal RNA". It matches the Rfam family "Bacterial small subunit ribosomal RNA", at positions 28 to 506 of the family's 1533-position model. The record is from RNAcentral.